UAGCGGUGAAAUGCAUAGAUAUCACGCAGAACUCCGAUUGCGAAGGCAGCAUACCGGCGCCCUACUGACGCUGAAGCACGAAAGCGUGGGUAUCGAACAGGAUUAGAUACCCUGGUAGUCCACGCAGUAAACGAUGAAUACUAAUUGUGUGCCCCGAAUGAGGGGUGCGUGAUACAGCGAAAGCGUUAAGUAUUCCACCUGGGGAGUACGCCGGCAACGGUGAAACUCAAAGGAAUUGACGGGGGCCCGCACAAGCGGAGGAACAUGUGGUUUAAUUCGAUGAUACGCGAGGAACCUUACCCGGGCUCAAACGCAGGAGGAAUGUUUUUGAAAGGAGGCAGCUCUACGGAGUCUCCUGCGAGGUGCUGCAUGGUUGUCGUCAGCUCGUGCCGUGAGGUGUCGGCUUAAGUGCCAUAACGAGCGCAACCCCUACCGCCAGUUGCCAACGGGUUAUGCCGGGAACUCUGGCGGGACUGCCGGCGCAAGCUGUGAGGAAGGCGGGGAUGACGUCAAAUCAGCACGGCCCUUACGUCCGGGGCGACACACGUGUUACAAUGGCAGGUACAGCGGGAAGCCACUUGGCGACAAGGCGCGGAACCCGAAAACCUGUCUCAGUUCGGAUUGGAGUCUGCAACCCGACUCCAUGAAGCUGGAUUCGCUAGUAAUCGCGCAUCAGCCACGGCGCGGUGAAUACGUUCCCGGGCCUUGCACACACCGCCCGUCAAG
This 726-nucleotide ribosomal RNA is filed under the name uncultured bacterium. RNAcentral describes it as "bacterial SSU rRNA". It matches the Rfam family "Bacterial small subunit ribosomal RNA", at positions 676 to 1401 of the family's 1533-position model. The record is from RNAcentral.